Molecule: long non-coding RNA, 771 nt
Organism: Exaiptasia diaphana
Lineage: Eukaryota; Metazoa; Cnidaria; Anthozoa; Actiniaria; Aiptasiidae
Exons: 2
Source: RefSeq, a predicted model, not a curated record
GUAUAUAUAUGAUAAUAUAAUUACAGCGCCAACUUUGGCAAAAUAACAAAAACACGAAUAAUAUGGCUGCGCUUUUAACUGCACUUGGAGUCAUUGCAAUGAUAUCAGCCAUGGCGGCUUUGAUGGGAGUUAGCUUCUGCGUUGCAGUAAAAAUGGGCAAAAAAGCUGAACAAGAUCGGAAGGAUGGCAAGCCAAUACGAUUUCCCUAUGGAGGGGGAUUUUACCAUCCCUACUUGUAAAUAUUUCAAUUCUUCAUUUAUAAUUCAUUGGUUGAUCGCUACACUAAAGACUACUCCAGUAUGGCUGACCAAGUUUUGACGUCAAUCUUGUGUUAUUUUCCUUGUUGAACUCUCUCUAAGCGUACAUAUGAACCGUAAAUCAAAUAGUUAAAGAUUCAUUCCAAAGAGAUUUGUUUUCUUAGCGAUUUUGUGUCGUCUUAUAAUUCCAUUAAAAUGAUAUUCAACGUAUGAAUGUAGGUAAGGUCAUAGAAUACAUCUAAAUAGAUUUUUAUUAUAAUUUUUAAAAUGUCAACUGCAUGCAUCUGUGUAUCAUUUUUAAUAGUAAAAUAAAGUUAUUGUCAACUAGUAACAUGUAGUAAGCUGCGAAACGUUUGUCGAUCAUCGAGCAAGAAAUUUAGUUCUCAAGUUUCAACAUAUUUCAACAACAACUAUGACCAUUUGACCGUGAAAGAUGAGUGUCGGUAUUAUGGUUUUCAAUAAAUUGUUUUCUCAUUUGUUUUUGUUAAGAAAAUAAAGAUUUUUUUGCGUUUGA